This 338-nucleotide ribosomal RNA is filed under the name uncultured bacterium. Its description in RNAcentral is "bacterial SSU rRNA". It matches the Rfam family "Bacterial small subunit ribosomal RNA", at positions 427 to 757 of the family's 1533-position model. The record is from RNAcentral.
AAAGCACUUUUGUCCGGGAAGAAAUCCUUUCUGAUAAUACCGGAGGGGGAUGACGGUACCGGAAGAAUAAGCACCGGCUAACUACGUGCCAGCAGCCGCGGUAAUACGUAGGGUGCGAGCGUUAAUCGGAAUUACUGGGCGUAAAGCGUGCGCAGGCGGUGAUGUAAGACCGAUGUGAAAUCCCCGGGCUUAACCUGGGAACUGCAUUGGUGACUGCAUCGCUGGAGUAUGGCAGAGGGGGGUGGAAUUCCACGUGUAGCAGUGAAAUGCGUAGAGAUGUGGAGGAACACCGAUGGCGAAGGCAGCCCCCUGGGCCAAUACUGACGCUCAUGCACGAA